GCCAGGCAUUGUGGUGCAUGCCUGUGGUCCCAGCUACUAGGGAGGCUGAGGCAGGAGAAUCAUGUGAGCCCAGGAGGUCUAGGCUGCAGUGAGCCAUGAUCACACUACUGCACUCCAGCCUGGGUGACAGAGUGAGACCCUGUCUCAA
Molecule: non-coding RNA, 148 nt
Filed under: Chlorocebus sabaeus (green monkey)
Lineage: Eukaryota; Metazoa; Chordata; Mammalia; Primates; Cercopithecidae
Source: Rfam by way of RNAcentral